AUGAAGAACGUAGCGAAAUGCGAUACUUGGUGUGAAUUGCAGAAUCCCGUGAACCAUCGAGUCUUUGAACGCAAGUUGCGCCUGAGGCCAUUAGGCCGAGGGCACGCCUGCAUGGGCGUCACGC
RNAcentral lists this ribosomal RNA (124 nucleotides) under Plagiobothrys collinus var. fulvescens. RNAcentral's name for it is "5.8S ribosomal RNA". It matches the Rfam family "5.8S ribosomal RNA", at positions 36 to 154 of the family's 154-position model. From Rfam's summary of the family: 5.8S ribosomal RNA (5.8S rRNA) is a component of the large subunit of the eukaryotic ribosome. It is transcribed by RNA polymerase I as part of the 45S precursor that also contains 18S and 28S rRNA. The record is from RNAcentral. Lineage: Eukaryota; Viridiplantae; Streptophyta; Magnoliopsida; Boraginales; Boraginaceae. RNAcentral also lists the same sequence under 2 other names.